CACGUAGGGGGCAAGCGUUGUCCGGAUUUAUUGGGCGUAAAGAGCGUGUAGGCGGCCUGGUAGGUCAGCUGUGAAAACUCGAGGCUCAACCUCGAGACGCCGGUUGAAACCAUCAGGCUAGAGUCCGGAAGAGGAGAGUGGAAUUCCCGGUGUAGCGGUGAAAUGCGCAGAUAUCGGGAAGAACACCCGUGGCUAAGGCGGCUCUCUAGUACGGUACUGACGCUGAGACGCGAAAGCGUGGGGAGCGAACAGG
Molecule: ribosomal RNA, 253 nt
Filed under: uncultured bacterium
Lineage: Bacteria
Description: partial 16S ribosomal RNA
Rfam family: Bacterial small subunit ribosomal RNA
Source: RNAcentral